Molecule: non-coding RNA, 1269 nt
Organism: Oncorhynchus mykiss (rainbow trout)
Lineage: Eukaryota; Metazoa; Chordata; Actinopteri; Salmoniformes; Salmonidae
Source: RefSeq, a predicted model, not a curated record
GUAUCUUAUCACAGAGUAAUCAGAGAAGCCUGCUGAUUUAACCAGUUCACUUUAACCUGUUUUAACCUGCACCGGCAACGACCCUAACACAAAAGUCAGGAGACUAGAUCUUUAGCAGUAACAUGCAGUCCAUAUAAACGCUCAAAGUGAAAUUUCUUCUAGACAAGUCAUUUAUUUCUGUGAAACACACAGAAUUUUUUUUUCAACGAGGUUAUUCCAUUUGUCAUUUUUUUUUAAUGAAGGGUUAACAUGACAUAACGUGUUCCCUCACGCUCCCUUUUGACACAGGCAGUCCUCGUCACACGCAUAUGAAGUAGCCCUGUUCAUCUGUCUAUGACGUGUGUAUGGAAGUCCUGUCCUGUCAGUCUUAUAAUCAGUCGCUCAGUCUUAUAAUCAAUCGCCCAAACAGCCCAGGGGCUAAAAGUCAAAGGACUGACUGCCGGAGAGACCUGAUGUAACACCAGUGUAAUUCUCCCCUUUGAAACUAACUUCAAACUCCAGUUUGUGAACAAAGUCCUGUCUGUCUUCUGAAUAGGAAUCUGAAUAGUCCGACCACUGACCAAACUCCAUUUGUUAACCACUGCCUAUUUGUACCUUCCACUGAAUGACUCUUUUUCAUUCCACACGUCCGAUCCCAAUGGAAAGAGCUAGUGAGGAUAAAAAAACAAAUAACUGGAGGUAUCAGCCGGGGGGAAACCAAGAGUCAAUGAUAUUUGGAAUAUACUCUAUAUGGGAACAUAUUAUUUUUAGGAGAGCUUCAAGCGCAGGGAAAAUUGAUGGGAUUGUGAAGACGAGGAUCCCGAGGCACAGCCUGGCUCCUCUACCAUGGAAGUGAAUGGAACUGGGCUAGACUCGCGUGCGAAAAGGAAAAGAGUUCCAGCCGAGUCUCCCCAUAGCUCCAGCAGAGGCAAGGCUACACCGAACAGUGCAGUUGCAGCAUGUAUGGAAGACAGAAAAGGACAUUGAUGUGGUUCCCAAACAAUUGAGGUUCUUUCAGCCAGGCAGCCUGGGGUGCAGCUGAACCCUAGCAUCACUUAUGGACUUAUGCAAGCUGUUCUUCAGUGAACAGACCAUGAGGGUCCUGUGUGAAAACGCCAACAAACAAGCAGCGAUAAACAUAGCGAGAGGGAGAAAAUAUGCCUGGACGGACUGUCACGUUCUGACCUUAGUUCCUUUAUUAUGUCUUUGUGUUAGUUUGGUCAGGGCGUGAGUUGGGGUGGGUAGUCUCUGUUAUUUUUUCUAUGUAGUAUGUACAGUGCCUUGCGAAAG